GGGUAAGAGGGUUGAGCACUUGGUGGCAUCGAAUAUAAAGUGCUCCCAUAUGCCGUAGUUUGUAAUGGCUGACUAGUAGGAUUUUCAGAUGACAAUCCUGGAGGAAAACUCUGUUGUGCUUCACCUGAAGUCACAGGUUGAGAGGGAGCACCAGGGGGAGCUGUCUGGACCUGAGAAUACUGGACGCCAUAAGGAGGCAUGGCCUGACCCUGAACAGCCGGAUAGACGUUAGAACCCGGAGG
This 242-nucleotide unclassified non-coding RNA is filed under the name Hevea brasiliensis (rubber tree). The record is from RNAcentral. Lineage: Eukaryota; Viridiplantae; Streptophyta; Magnoliopsida; Malpighiales; Euphorbiaceae.